UACGUAGGGUCCGAGCGUUGUCCGGAAUUAUUGGGCGUAAAGAGCUCGUAGGUGGCCUGUCGCGUCGGCUGUGAAAACUCGGGGCUCAACUCCGAGCUUGCAGUCGAUACGGGCAGGCUAGAGUUCGGCAGGGGAGACUGGAAUUCCUGGUGUAGCGGUGAAAUGCGCAGAUAUCAGGAGGAACACCGGUGGCGAAGGCGGGUCUCUGGGCCGAUACUGACACUGAGGAGCGAAAGCGUGGGGAGCGAACAGG
RNAcentral lists this ribosomal RNA (253 nucleotides) under uncultured bacterium. Its description in RNAcentral is "partial 16S ribosomal RNA". It matches the Rfam family "Bacterial small subunit ribosomal RNA", at positions 524 to 776 of the family's 1533-position model. The record is from RNAcentral.